This 429-nucleotide RNase P RNA is filed under the name Edaphobacter albus. RNAcentral's name for it is "Edaphobacter sp. 4G125 Bacterial RNase P class A". It matches the Rfam family "Bacterial RNase P class A". Rfam says of the family: Ribonuclease P (RNase P) is a ubiquitous endoribonuclease, found in archaea, bacteria and eukarya as well as chloroplasts and mitochondria. Its best characterised activity is the generation of mature 5'-ends of tRNAs by cleaving the 5'-leader elements of precursor-tRNAs. The record is from Rfam by way of RNAcentral. Lineage: Bacteria; Pseudomonadati; Acidobacteriota; Terriglobia; Terriglobales; Acidobacteriaceae.
GCAGGCGGCCGGAUGAUCGCUGCCGAGCAGGUCGAAUGAUCUGCCGGGAGAGGAAAGUCCGAACUCCGAAGGGCAGUGUGCCGGAUAACGUCCGGGACGGAUGGUUCAAGCCAUCUGGACGGCCAGUGCAACAGAGAACAUACCGCCACGAUCGCAAGAUCGGGGUAAGGGUGAAAAGGUGCGGUAAGAGCGCACCGCGCGGCUGGUAACAGACGCGGCAAUGUAAACCCCACACGGAGCAAGACCAAAUAGGCAGGGACUUCGUCGCUUCUCUUCAGGCGGCGGAGGCGUAUCGGCCCGGUACGCUCAGGCGAAGAGGCCCGAAAGGGCUCCGAAACCUGCGGGUAGGUUGCUGGAGCGCCGCAGUAAUGCGUCGCCUAGAGGAAUGAUCAUCUAGAACAGAAUUCGGCUUACGAGCCGUCUGCAGAA